CAAAAGAAGGGUAGGGGUGUGGUAAGGUGGCGGCGGCGAGAGUGUUUUAGGGUAGGAGGUGCUUAGGUUAGAGAUGGAGGCAGUGUUGUCGGAGUUGGUGUUGGUACCACAACGGCCUAUCACCGCCGCUACUGUAGAGACGGGGCCACGCCAAGCUCGACGGCACCAACCGAUAAAAAGACGACCUGUCAACGCGGCGGCAAGCACUAGGGCCUGCCUAGACUCCUCGAGGCGCGGCCUAGGCGAGCAGGGUGCAGAAGUACACCUCGGGGCCGACGGGCCUGCGAAAGUGCUGCGGCCGUUCGGGACGCGGCGGUGGGGAGCGCGGGGAGUUUAGCCUGCGGUAGACCUCGAACACGUGGUGGAUACCUCCUUCCCAUUCCCUCGUCCCCGGUGGCACUCCAGACCCGUAACGACGUCGUCGACCCCUUCCUCCUUCGUGCCCGAAGCUAGAUCGGCUUCGUCGGCCUCCUCUUCCUUCGUUCCCUUCCCUCGAGCAGGAGCUACGUCGUUAUGCUUCUGUUGUUCCCGAUCCUUUACCUAAAGAAGUGACUGGUUUAGCUUCAGGCAUGCGUGAGGCCGGAGGAGGUUAGAGAGGAAGAAAGACAUUAGGGGUAGAGGCAUCCACUACAUUAGGACUUCGAUUUAUGUAAGCGUAAUCGAACCCUAAUCCUUUUUACGAGUAUACACUAUGAAGAUCGAAAUAUCGGGUAUCGAACAAUUAACUAACGAUCGAAGACCAGUAUAAGCUCAUCUUAUCGCAUCGUCGUGUGCUCAAGAUCCAUGAACUAUAGUUUGUUGUCAUAUACUAAACUAAAUCAUCGCUUGUUCGUUAUCACGUGUGGGUAUAUAUUCGUCGGCCAGUUCCCUCGUCAGUUUCAACGUGUUACUGAUGAUCUGUCCACCGGACCUGUCGACAGCUUCAACGUGUUUGUGCCGUCGUAUCAAUCCCCGGAAUCCCAAUCAACACAUCUUCAAAAGUGUCUAAAUCACACUUACAAAAAUCGGUAAACACGUUGGCCCUGUCGAAAGGAACACGUUGGACAAUAUAACUUGAGCGGUUGAAGUACAAUUUCUAUCGGUUGGAUUCAAAAACAAAAACUACCUAAAACAAAACAAAACCCCACUGUCAAAAACACAUGUUGAUCCGUCGUUUAGUACACGUUAAAAAUAAAAAUAAGUUGAUCGCAUCAGAAAGACUCCGACGAUAAAAAAAUCAACGUGUUACACCUACGUUUGCCACACCUAGUGUGCCACUAUGUUUCCGUAAAACAUCGGUUAAACAAAACGUUGAUCCGUCCAGGUAAUAGGUUCAACAAAACUAACUGAACGGUUAGUUCAUCAUAUUAAAAAAUACCCACCGAAAAAAGCGAGUGGGCCUAUCCUUAAGUACACGUUGAAAGAAAAAUUAAGAACACGUUGAACAAUAGAACUCAACGGUUGAAGUGUAAUUCUCAUCGGUUGAAGUAUACAUUUACAUCGGAUGGUGUGGGGAUAAAACAGAGGGGGACACGUUAAAACAAUUAAAACUGAUGAUACAAACAAGAAAAGACAAAACGUCUCUGUUUUACCAACCACUUCCUCUACACGAACCAUCACUUUAUCUCUAAGUAUAAAAGAAAAGAAAAUAGGAUACUGGUAAAUAAAUACAAGAAAAUAAAAUGGUAGAGUCAUCAAGUUGGAAAAAACAAGUAACAUCCCAAGAGGUUUAUCCUGGAGAACCGCCCUGAGUUUUGCCCCACGAUUCGCUUUACUGAACGUAGGAGCCCAAAAGGAUCAACGUGUUCUCAUGGACUAAUCAACCGUAGGAGUCGUAAAGAUCACCGUGUUAUGGUGGAUUGAUCAACUGUAGGAAUCAGAAAAGCAUCGACGUAACUGUGGGAGUUGUAAAAGAAGAUCUUCGGAGCUUGGACUUACAAGUUAAAAAACUAACCAGUACGUUCACGACUUAUAAAAAAAAGGGUUCUCAUAGAUUAAUUAACCGUAGGAAGUCUAAAUAUCAACGUGUUCUUAUAAGUUAAUCAACCGUAGGAGUCGGAAAGAUGAACGUGUUUAUCAUAGGUUGAUUAACUGUAGGAAUCGGAUAGAUCAACGUGUUCUCAUUGAUAAAAAAUCAGAGUAGAAGUUUAAAAACUCCCAAAGGGUUCUCAUAG
This 2153-nucleotide ribosomal RNA is filed under the name Triticum aestivum (bread wheat). Its description in RNAcentral is "partial small subunit ribosomal RNA". The record is from RNAcentral. Lineage: Eukaryota; Viridiplantae; Streptophyta; Magnoliopsida; Poales; Poaceae.